UCAGACGAUGCGUCAUGCAUAUCAAUAAGCGGAGGAAAAGAAACUAACAAGGAUUCCCUUAGUAACGGCGAGUGAAGCGGGAAGAGCUCAAAUUUGAAAUCUUCAAGGUUUUACCUUGACGAAUUGUUAGUUUAAAGAAGUGUUUUCUGUUGAAGUUUUGGUAAAAGUUCUUUGGAAUAGGACAUCAUAGAGGGUGAGAAUCCCGUAUUUGACCAUUAUUUCCAGCUGUGUGAUACACUUUCAAAGAGUCGGAUUGUUUGGGAAUGCAGUCCCAAAAUGGGUGGUAAAUUUCAUCUAAAGCUAAAUAUUGGCGAGAGACCGAUAGCGAACAAGUACCGUGAGGGAAAGAUGAAAAGAACUUUGAAAAGAGAGUUAAACAGUACGUGAAAUUGUCAAAAGGGAAGCGUUUGACACCAGUGUUGUUUUCUCGAAAAUCAAUUAAAAAGAGUUGGAUUUUGUGUUGUAUUGACCUUAACAGCUUGCUUCACUCUUUUCCUGCUUUUUUUAAUGCACUUUUCGUUUAACAAGUCAACAUCAAUUUCUUUUGUUGUAAAAGGGUCAUUGGAAGGUGGCUUUCUCUUCGGAGAAAGUGUUUAUAGCCUUUGAUCUCUGCAAUCGGAGAGACUGAGGUCUGCAGCGUAGAUCCUUCGGGGUUAGAUACAUUUGUGCUAAGCUACAGCUUUUCAUAGACAACUUGUUGACUAUGUUUAGUCUUGUAACUUACCCGCUUAUGCUAUUUUACCUACGCUUAGGAUGUUGAUAUGCAUGACUGAUAU
RNAcentral lists this ribosomal RNA (776 nucleotides) under uncultured Neocallimastigales. RNAcentral's name for it is "partial large subunit ribosomal RNA". It matches the Rfam family "Eukaryotic large subunit ribosomal RNA", at positions 18 to 635 of the family's 3401-position model. The record is from RNAcentral. Lineage: Eukaryota; Fungi; Neocallimastigomycota; Neocallimastigomycetes; Neocallimastigales.